GAUGAACGCUGGCGGCGUGCCUAAUACAUGCAAGUCGAGCGAACGGACGAGAAGCUUGCUUCUCUGAUGUUAGCGGCGGACGGGUGAGUGACACGUGGAUAACCUACCUAUAAGACUGGGAUAACUUCGGGAAACCGGAGCUAAUACCGGAUAAUAUUUUGAACCGCAUGGUUCAAAAGUAAAAGACGGUCUUGCUGUCACUUAUAGAUGGAUCCGCGCUGCAUUAGCUAGUUGGUAAGGUAACGGCUUACCAAGGCAACGAUGCAUAGCCGACCUGAGAGGGUGAUCGGCCACACUGGAACUGAGACACGGUCCAGACUCCUACGGGAGGCAGCAGUAGGGAAUCUUCCGCAAUGGGCGAAAGCCUGACGGAGCAACGCCGCGUGAGUGAUGAAGGUCUUCGGAUCGUAAAACUCUGUUAUUAGGGAAGAACAUAUGUGUAAGUAACUGUGCACAUCUUGACGGUACCUAAUCAGAAAGCCACGGCUAACUACGUG
RNAcentral lists this ribosomal RNA (497 nucleotides) under uncultured bacterium. Its description in RNAcentral is "partial 16S ribosomal RNA". It matches the Rfam family "Bacterial small subunit ribosomal RNA", at positions 28 to 507 of the family's 1533-position model. The record is from RNAcentral.